AUUGCUACUAGGGGCAUUGUAGGAGUGCCUGCUAUGUCACAUGUGUAUCAGUAGGUAGCAAAGAGGGGAGAGGAUAUAUUAUGCUGAUCUUCUGACUUGUGAAAAUCUGAAAGUCAAAUAGCCUAAUAAU
Small nucleolar RNA from Grammomys surdaster, 130 nucleotides. RefSeq annotates it as small nucleolar RNA SNORA17. The record is from RefSeq and is a predicted model, not a curated record. The transcript has a single exon. NCBI's taxonomy places the organism in Eukaryota, Metazoa, Chordata, Mammalia, Rodentia, Muridae.